RNAcentral lists this ribosomal RNA (472 nucleotides) under uncultured bacterium. Its description in RNAcentral is "partial 16S ribosomal RNA". It matches the Rfam family "Bacterial small subunit ribosomal RNA", at positions 28 to 507 of the family's 1533-position model. The record is from RNAcentral.
GACGAACGCUGGCGGCGUGCUUAACACAUGCAAGUCGAACGCUGAAGCUUGGUGCUUGCACUGGUGGGAUGAGUGGCGAACGGGUGAGUAAUACGUGAGUAACCUGCCCUUGAGUCUGGGAUAAGCCUGGGAAACUGGGUCUAAUACUGGAUACGACAUGUCACCGCAUGGUGGUGUGUGGAAAGGGGUUUAUUGGUUUUGGAUGGGCUCACGGCCUAUCAGCUUGUUGGGGGGGUAAUGGCUCGCCAAGGCGAGGACGGAUAGCCGGCCUGGGAGGUUGAACGCGCCCCCUACUCCUACGGCACGCCGCAGACUCCUACGGUCGGCAGAAGUCGAGAAUCUUACCCAAUGGGGCGGAGUGUGUUGCGGCGACCCUCGGUUAGUGAUGCACGCCUUUGGGUUGUGAACCUCUUUCAGCACGGACGAACCGAAAGUGACGGUACCUGCAGAAGAAGCGCCGGCUAACUACGUG